This 281-nucleotide ribosomal RNA is filed under the name uncultured soil bacterium. RNAcentral describes it as "partial 16S ribosomal RNA". It matches the Rfam family "Bacterial small subunit ribosomal RNA", at positions 26 to 305 of the family's 1533-position model. The record is from RNAcentral.
AGAUUGAACGCUGGCGGCAGGCCUAACACAUGCAAGUCGAGCGGUAGAGAGGUGCUUGCAGUCUCUUGAGAGCGGCGGACGGGUGAGUAAUGCCUAGGAAUCUGCCUAGUGGUGGGGGAUAACGUUCGGAAACGGACGCUAAUACCGCAUACGUCCUACGGGAGAAAGCGGGGGACCUUCGGGCCUCGCGCCAUUAGAUGAGCCUAGGUCGGAUUAGCUCGGUUGGUGAGGUAUGGCUCACCGAAGGCGAACGAUACCGUAACUGGUCUGAGAGAUAGAUC